Molecule: ribosomal RNA, 397 nt
Filed under: uncultured bacterium
Lineage: Bacteria
Description: bacterial SSU rRNA
Rfam family: Bacterial small subunit ribosomal RNA
Source: RNAcentral
CCGGGAAUUUUGGGCAAUGGGCGAAAGCCUGCCCCAGCAACGCCGCGUGAGGGAUGAAGUAUUUCGGUAUGUAAACCUCGAAAGAAUGGGAAGAAUAAAUGACGGUACCAUUUAUAAGCUCCGGCUAACUACGUGCCAGCAGCCGCGGUAAUACGUAGGGAGCAAGCGUUGUUCGGAUUUACUGGGCGUAAAGGGCGCGUAGGCGGCGCGGUAAGUCACUUGUGAAAUCUCUGAGCUUAACUCAGAACGGCCAAGUGAUACUGCUGUGCUAGAGUGCGGAAGAGGCAACCGGAAUUCUUGGUGUAGCGGUAAAAUGCGUAGAUAUCAAGGGGAACACCUGAGGCGAAGGCGGGUUGCUGAGCCGACACUGACGCUGAUGCGCGAAAGCCAGGGGAGC